UGCUCCCUCUGGCGGCGUGCCUAAUACAUGCAAGUCGAGCGGACCGGCUUGGGGAUUGUCUUGAUUCGGUCAGCGGCGGACGGGUGAGUAACACGUGGGCAAGCUGCUCGCAAUACCGGGAUAACUCCGGGAAACAGGAGAUAAUACCGGAUAACACCGAAGACCGCAUGGUCUUCGGUUGAAUGGCGGCCUUUGGGCUGUAACUUGCGGAUGGGCCCGCGGCGCAUUAGCUAGUUGGUGAGGUACCGGCUCACCAAGGCGAGGAUGCGUAGCCGGGCUGAGAGGGAGGACGGCCACACUGGGACUGAGACACGGCCCAGACGCCUACAGGGAGCAGCAAGAGGGGAUCUUCCGCAAUGGGCGGAAACCUUGCGGAGCGACUCCGCGGGAGGGGAGAAGGCCGUCGGGUCGGAAAGGUCUGUUGUGGGGGACGAAAGAGCGUCGGUCGAAGACGGCGGCGCGGUGACGGUACCUCACGAGAAAGCCCCGGCUAACUACGUG
RNAcentral lists this ribosomal RNA (501 nucleotides) under uncultured bacterium. RNAcentral's name for it is "partial 16S ribosomal RNA". It matches the Rfam family "Bacterial small subunit ribosomal RNA", at positions 34 to 507 of the family's 1533-position model. The record is from RNAcentral.